AUAAAGAUCUUUCUGGAGAUGUAUCUUCAGUAGCUGAAGUGAGAACAGGAUUCAUGGUUGAGUAGAGCCGAACGUACUGGUUUUAAAUCGCCGAGGGAAGGAGGUGCAAUACCCUCGGAGGGCAGCCUGGGGACCACUUGCCCUACCCCUUCACCAUGGAUUUGUGAAGCCUUCAGUUUCCUCCCCCUCCCCUCCCGUGUGGGGGCCGCAGCCCAGCCCAGCCCUGCCUCCCGCAAAUUCCGGCCGCCUGCUCACGCCCCGCUCCGUGCUGGUGCCAGACGGGGAGGGAGGACGACGAGGGCACGGCAGGGACUUGGGGAGGCGCUGAGGAGCCGCCGCAGGUCGCUCGCCCCGCAGCGUCCUGGGGUUGCGCGGAGGCGGCGGUGCUGGCAGCGGAGCCCUGGGAUCCCGGGAAAUGUAAACAUUGUGUUUCUUCUGAGCACAGUAUAAGCAUUUCUUCACAUCAUCAAUGAAAGCUUAAAG
Long non-coding RNA from Anser brachyrhynchus (Pink-footed goose), 483 nucleotides. The record is from Ensembl. Lineage: Eukaryota; Metazoa; Chordata; Aves; Anseriformes; Anatidae.